AGCAGCCGCGGUAAUUCCAGCUCCAAUAGCGUAUAUUAAAGUUGUUGCAGUUAAAAAGCUCGUAGUUGAAUUUCGGGGUUAGUAGGCUGGUCGUGCCACUGGUACGUACUGGUCUCACUGAUUCCUCCUUCCUGAUGAACCGUAAUGCCAUUAAUUUGGUGUUGCGGGGAGACUGGACUGUUACUUUGAAAAAAUUAGAGUGUUUAAAGCAAGCUAACGCUUGAAUACAUUAGCAUGGAAUAAUGAAAUAGGACGUUCGAUCCUAUUUUGUUGGUUUCUAGGAUUGACGUAAUGAUUAAUAGGGAUAGUUGGGGGCAUUAGUAUUCAAUUGUCAGAGGUGAAAUUCUUGGAUUUAUUGAAGACUAACUACUGCGAAAGCAUUUGCCAAGGAUGUUUUCAUUAAUCAAGAACGAAAGUUAGGGGAUCGAAGACGAUCAGAUACCGUCGUAGUCUUAACCAUAAACUAUGCCGACUAGGGAUCGGAUGAUGUUAAUUUUUUAAUGACUCAUUCGGCGCCUUACG
This 522-nucleotide ribosomal RNA is filed under the name uncultured Glomeraceae. Its description in RNAcentral is "SSU rRNA". It matches the Rfam family "Eukaryotic small subunit ribosomal RNA", at positions 569 to 1092 of the family's 1831-position model. Lineage: Eukaryota; Fungi; Glomeromycota; Glomeromycetes; Glomerales; Glomeraceae. The record is from RNAcentral.